GAUGAAGAACGCAGCGAAAUGCGAUAAGUAAUGUGAAUUGCAGAAUUCAGUGAAUCAUCGAAUCUUUGAACGCACCUUGCGCCCUUUGGCCAUUCCGAAGGGCAUGCCUGUUUGAGUAUCAUGAACACCUCAACUCUUCAUGGUUUUCCAUGAUGAGCUUGGACUUUGGGGGUCUUGCUGGCCUGUGGGUCGGCUCCUCUCAAAUGAAUCAGCUUGCCGGUUUUUGGUGGGCAUCACAGGUGUGAUAACUAUCUACGCUUGUGGUUUUCCACCAGGGUAACCUUCAGCAGUGGAGGUUCACUGGAGCUUACAAAUGUCUCUCCUCUGUGAGGACAGCCCUUUGAAUGUUUGAUCUCAAAUCAGGUAGGACUACCCGCUGAACUUAAGCAUAUCAAUAAGCGGAGG
RNAcentral lists this unclassified non-coding RNA (405 nucleotides) under soil metagenome. Its description in RNAcentral is "partial contains 5.8S ribosomal RNA, internal transcribed spacer 2, and large subunit ribosomal RNA". The stretch from base 1 to 121 matches the Rfam family "5.8S ribosomal RNA", at positions 35 to 154 of the family's 154-position model. The record is from RNAcentral.